UCAGGAUGAACGCUGGCGGCGUGCCUAACACAUGCAAGUCGAACGGGCUUGAUUCUGGAGGCUUCGGCCAAAGAGGGUUAAGCUAGUGGCGGACGGGUGAGUAACGCGUGGAGAACCUGCCCUGUACUGGGGGAUAACAGUGAGAAAUCACUGCUAAUACCGCAUAAGCGCACGGCACCGCAUGGUGCAGUGUGAAAAAACUCCGGUGGUACAGGAUGGCUCCGCGUUGGAUUAGCCAGUUGGCGGGGUAACGGCCCACCAAAGCGACGAUCCAUAGCCGGCCUGAGAGGGUGAACGGCCACAUUGGGACUGAGACACGGCCCAGACUCCUACGGGAGGCAGCAGUGGGGAAUAUUGCACAAUGGGGGGAACCCUGAUGCAGCGAACCGCCGCGUGAAGGAUGAAGUAUCUCGGUAUGUAAACUUCUAUCAGCAGGGAAGAUGAUGACGGUACCUGACUAAGAAGCCCCGGCUAACUACGUGCCAGCCGCUGC
Molecule: ribosomal RNA, 493 nt
Filed under: uncultured bacterium
Lineage: Bacteria
Description: bacterial SSU rRNA
Rfam family: Bacterial small subunit ribosomal RNA
Source: RNAcentral